Molecule: transfer RNA, 75 nt
Filed under: Ehrlichia chaffeensis str. Arkansas
Lineage: Bacteria; Pseudomonadati; Pseudomonadota; Alphaproteobacteria; Rickettsiales; Anaplasmataceae
Also listed under: 7 other names
Description: tRNA-fMet (CAT) (tRNA-fMet-CAT-1-1)
Rfam family: tRNA
About the family: Transfer RNA (tRNA) molecules are approximately 80 nucleotides in length. Their secondary structure includes four short double-helical elements and three loops (D, anti-codon, and T loops).
Source: Rfam by way of RNAcentral
UGCGGGGUAGAGCAGUCUGGUAGCUCGACAGGCUCAUAACCUGUAGGUCGCUCGGUUCAAAUCCGGUCCCCGCAA